This 892-nucleotide long non-coding RNA is filed under the name Brassica napus (rape). RNAcentral describes it as "long non-coding RNA (BNAP_LNC026833)". The record is from RNAcentral. Lineage: Eukaryota; Viridiplantae; Streptophyta; Magnoliopsida; Brassicales; Brassicaceae.
GACAUCCUUUUUCGCUAGAGCUUGGGUUUGUGUUGAGAGCUACGGUGAAAGAGAAAAUGAGCCGAGUCAACUAUAAAUCUCUUAAACAUGUUGUGUCUCUGUAACGAAUCUAUUUCGUGGAGCUAAUGCAGAUGGAUGAGAUGUGUUUGGUAAUGGGUGGAGCAUGGGUUUGUGGUUUCUGUGGGAAUGGGAGUUCGUGGUGGACAAAAAAUAUGGUCGGAUUGGGGUUUUCAGGUGUGUUGUGGAUGGGACACUCGUGGUUAGUGUGAUUGUUGUAGUGGUCGGAUGUGUUGUGGAUGGGACUCUCGUUGUUAGGAGGAGUGUUGUUGUGGUCGGGAGUGUUGUUCAAGGCUCUGGUGGUCAAUGUGUGAAUGGAUGCCGAUGUUGGCAACAGUGCCAGUGUGAUCUUGUAGGCUUUGGUCGGGGUGGAGGUAGUGUUGUGCGGCAUAUUGGCUAAUGAUAGGGGAGUGGCUUCCAAGUGAUUCUUGUUUCUCCGGCUGAAUUGGGACCUGAGAAAAAAAUAAAAAGAGUCGGUGAAAGAGUGCUUGCAUUAUGAAGCGCCAUGUUGUGUAAGUGUCUAGAGUGAAAUCUCACCAGGAUGUCGGGCGCAGUUUUCAUCGGCUGUUCGGCUGUAUGGUUUUGAAGUUUUGUUAAUUUAGUUUAACGGCUUUAACCCUUUCACUAAUAGAUCUUUCUUUUGGUUCUUAACAAAAAGUAUCUGAAAAAAAUUGAUUGUAUCAUAAAAAAAGAAAUACAAACGUUUACAAAAUGCAAAAACUAUCAUCUUAUAUGAAUCUCGUAAAUACCCAGAACAUGGAAGACGUAUGCGGGAUCUUCUUUGUUAUUCAUAUCUCAUCUGAUCACCUCUUAUCUGACCACUACGCACUUGACC